This is a non-coding RNA of Fulmarus glacialis (Northern fulmar), 73 nucleotides long. Lineage: Eukaryota; Metazoa; Chordata; Aves; Procellariiformes; Procellariidae. The record is from Rfam.
GUUUCUGUAGUGUAGUGGUUAUCACGUUCGCCUAACACGCGAAAGGUCCCUGGUUCGAAACCAGGCAGAAACA